AAAGUCCGUCUUCCUUUCUGCCAACUCUUUCUCAUCAAAGUAUGGCUUGACAAAUGUGACCUGAAUGUAGGCAAAUUUUGGGUCCAGAUCUUUCUGGUUUACCUGCAGGCAAUAAAAGCAAGCUGAGAUAGCCGGCCAGAUCCAACUCCGUUCCUACUUGGUGUUGGACUCCACUGCUAUUUGUCUCUGAGGGAUGAUGACUAAAUGCAGCCGGUGCCAGUCUAUUACGAUGGACUUCUGGGAAUGAACUGAUGCCAACUCCAACCAUAAGACAUGUGCUACUUCAUAUGCCACUGCCUGAACCGUGGACUUAGGAUGGACCUCACCAAAAUUACCGGCUGAUUGAACUGUCGAAGCACCGCACUAAUCUUGGCCUGCAUCACCUUAGUCUAAUGAUGGACUACACUCUUAAAAUGUAAUACAAUAAAUUGCCAACAAAAGCCUUCAUCAGCCAACUAACAAAGGACAAUGCAUCUAUGUGAACUUCUGCAGUUAAUCCAGGAUGAACUUCAAAGACAUUAGUAAUUAAUCUUACAGUUCUUACAAAAUCUUUGUUUAAACACUGACCCUUAACACUUACUUAGUUUACUAAUUUUAAACCAUGACUUGCACUAUACAUAAUUAAGUAAUAUUGGCAUUGUAUUCAUGUUGUUAGCCAGAGGGGAACUGGCCCCCACAGUGAGCCUGGUUUCUCCAAAAGUUAUUUUUCUCCAUUAACAAACAUCUUAUGGAGUUUCGUGUUCCUUUCCACAGUCACCUUCAGCUUGCUCACAGGGGUUCUAAAUACGAUUAUGAUAUAAUUAUUCAAUUUAUUUAUUUUUAUACACAAUAUAAAGUUUGGAAUAAUGUACAGAUUUUGCUAUUAUGGAAAGAAAUUGGUACUUUUAUUCAAAAGUGGCAUUCAACUUAUCACAAUAUAUAGUCAGGACAUUAAUAAUGUGAAAAAUUACUAUUACAAUUUGAAAAAAAUAUUCAUAACUUCUUAAACUACUUCAAAGAGUUCUCAUCAAAAAAUCCUCCAUGUGCAGUAAUGACAGCUUUACAGAUCCUUGGCAUUCUAGCUGUCAGUUUGUCCAGAUACUCAGGUGACAUUUCACCCCACACUUCCUGUAGCACUUGCCAUAGAUGUGGCUGUCUUGUCGGCACUUCUCACGCACCUUACAGUCUAGCUGAUCCCACAAAAGCUCAAUGGGAUUAAGAUCCAUAACACUCUUUUCCAAUUAUCUGUUGUCCAAUGUCUGUGUUUCUUUGCCCACUCUAACCUUUUCUUUUUGUUUUUCUGUUUCAAAAGUGGCUUUUUCUUUGCAAUUCUUCCCAUACGGCCUGCACCCCUGAGUCUUCUCUUUACUGUUGUACAUGAAACUGGUGUUGAGCGGGUAGAAUUCAAUGGAGCUGUCAGCUGAGGACAUGUGAGGCAUCUAUUUCUCAAACUAGAGACUCUGAUGUACUUAUCCUCUUAUUUAGUUGUACAUCUGGCCUUCCACAUCUCUUUCUCUCCUUGUUAGAGCCAGUUGCCCUUUGAAGACUGUAGUGUACACCUUUGUAUGAAAUCUUCAGUUUUUUGGGCAAUUUCAAGCAUUGUAUAGCCUUCAUUCCUCAAAACAAUGAUUGACUGACGAGUUUCUAGAGAAAGCUGUUUCUUUUUUGCCAUUUUUGA
Myxocyprinus asiaticus (Chinese sucker) is the source of this 1657-nucleotide long non-coding RNA. RefSeq lists it as uncharacterized. The record is from RefSeq and is a predicted model, not a curated record. Lineage: Eukaryota; Metazoa; Chordata; Actinopteri; Cypriniformes; Catostomidae. The transcript is spliced from 2 exons.